RNAcentral lists this ribosomal RNA (467 nucleotides) under uncultured bacterium. Its description in RNAcentral is "partial 16S ribosomal RNA". It matches the Rfam family "Bacterial small subunit ribosomal RNA", at positions 28 to 507 of the family's 1533-position model. The record is from RNAcentral.
GACGAACGCUGGCGGCGUGCUUAACACAUGCAAGUCGAACGGAAAGGCCUCUUUCGGGGGGUACUCGAGUGGCGAACGGGUGAGUAACACGUGAGUAACCUGCCCUUGACUUUGGGAUAACUUCAGGAAACUGGGGCUAAUACCGGAUAGGAGCUCCUGCUGCAUGGUGGGGGUUGGAAAGUUUCGGCGGUUGGGGAUGGACUCGCGGCUUAUCAGCUUGUUGGUGGGGUAGUGGCUUACCAAGGCUUUGACGGGUAGCCGGCCUGAGAGGGUGACCGGCCACAUUGGGACUGAGAUACGGCCCAGACUCCUACGGGAGGCAGCAGUGGGGAAUAUUGCACAAUGGGUGGAAGCCUGAUGCAGCAACGCCGUGUGCGGGAUGACGGCCUUCGGGUUGUAAACCGCUUUCACUCAUGACGAAGCUUUGUGUGACGGUAGUGGGUAAAGAAGCACCGGCUAACUACGUG